UUUUAUCACCUAGUUUCUCCCCAAUUUCUUGGAUCAUCAAACCACCAAAGUUGAAAUAUUCAUUAGUCAGGUACAUGUAAAGCAUUUGUAAAAUCUGGGAAGUAAGAGCAUUGAAAUUACUAAUUUUACCAGAAAAUGCCUUAAUAAAUGCAUCACACAAAUAACUCCAUUCUCUCCUAAGACCCCUUCUUUCUAUUUUACCUAAGGCAUCAGUUGGCAAUACAUAAUUCAUGGCAUAAAGUAAAUUAACCAACUGAACAUCACUAGGCAAAGAUAAAACAGUAUCUUCAGGAAUCUUAA
This 300-nucleotide long non-coding RNA is filed under the name Daucus carota (carrot). RNAcentral's name for it is "long non-coding RNA (DCAR_LNC004933)". Lineage: Eukaryota; Viridiplantae; Streptophyta; Magnoliopsida; Apiales; Apiaceae. The record is from RNAcentral.